This is a long non-coding RNA of Bombus impatiens (common eastern bumble bee), 2564 nucleotides long. RefSeq lists it as uncharacterized. The transcript has 3 exons. The record is from RefSeq and is a predicted model, not a curated record. Lineage: Eukaryota; Metazoa; Arthropoda; Insecta; Hymenoptera; Apidae.
CUCGGAGACUGCGUUCGAGAGGAUCGAUAAUACGCGGUUGCAGCCUCGCGCAACACGAAACUGCUUUUACUUGUCGACGACACGCGAUGAUCCGCUCUUAAGGGACUUGGCUCUCUGAUCUCCCGUUCGAGAGCUAAUUAUCUCUGACCAACACGUAAUGUUUCGGCCGAGAAACGGUCUUAGAAUCACGUGGCGCUAAUAAUGCCGGAAACGUGUCCCUGAAGAGUCGUUGGGGGACGGUUCCGCGAGAAAACGUUGCGUGACUCUCGUUACGAGGUCGGUUCUUCGACGUCGGAGCGUGGGCUGGUUCGUUUGUGUUCUCUUCUUUUGAAUCUCUGAGAAAAUUUGCUGACAGAAAAGCGGAGAGAAUGUGGAAUAACCUAGAACUCGUUCCUUCAAAAGGGUCCACUACGUCGUUGAUGGCACCCAUGUAUUCUUAAUGGAUCCACUUAACAAGUCGAAUUACGAGCAGAUGAUGUUGACAGCAGCUCUAAAAUUGUGCAGAGACCAUGUUGUUCUGUCAAUCAUUAUUGAAUGACAAAACGAUUUACAAGCUGUACAUAUGCCGUGACGUGGAAUAUUUGCUGGUCAAUCAAUAAUAUGGGGUCGUCCAUCAUUAACUGAUCCAUUCGGAUGAAAUCUCUUCAAAAUUUACGUGCAGAAAACGGAGAUAGGCGUUUCAUAAAAGGAGGGAAAGGUAUUAAAAUUAACGAUUAAGAUAAUUUUUAACUGCCGUCUUAUAAUUUUUCUGACAUUAUUAGGACCUGGUGAAAUACAGAGCACCAUUAUGAAUGGACUACUUUUUAUCUUUAUUCUCGAAGAAAAAAUCUAUCUUGAAAGGAUUGAAAACAGGAAACCAAUAUAAAAUUUAACAAUGCAAGUUCUGACCCUUGUUGCGUAUAAUUAAUGUACGAAUUGCAGUAAUUUAUGAAUGAAUAAUAUCAGUGAAUUAACAAGUGUAUAAUUGCAGUUUAUAAACUUCUCUUUUAUAACGUUGCAAUUUGUAAUUUGCAAAAUCUUGUAAAAUUUCAUUCUUUCUCAUUGAAUGAAACCUGUUAUUAGUAACUUCUAAUUUGUAACUUGUAAACUUCCAUUUUACAAAAGGCUUCAGGUAGUAUGAGGUCGACUGCAAAGUUGCUGCUUAACCGCGCAUAAUUAAAAACGUUUAACGAAGUGCGAUACAGAAGAAGUUUCAUAUAGUCCCUUUGCGGUUAUCGAUUUACUAGUCUCUCCACUCCACACCGUUAUUGUAUAUUCCAUGAGAAGUUUGCGGCAACAUCCAUUACGAAAGUCGACGCGAUCGGUGCCAUUUAGAAUACAGAUUUACGAGCGGCAAUCAAUAUCGUUACGAGAACGUUAAGGAUUUUCGUACACGCCCGCACAUGAAGCGCAGACCCUGACAAUGAGCGUCUAUUCACCAGCUCUAAGCAUCCAAAGGUCCUUGAACCUUCGUUUCUCCCGGCUGUUUACUCUGGAUCACGUGAAAUCGAUCCACUUUUAAUUUGUACCAAUUAGCUGGAACAACGAGAACGCGGUACACAAGCCGACAGCAGACAGUCGUUGGCCCAAUGAAAUAGUUACGAGGUCGUGACUAGUUGUGUUGAGCGUGUUCGUGACUGGCUGCUGUGUAUUUCUCAAUUUCAACCGUCGUGAGCUGAGCUCUUCAAUUCAAUUAGCCAGCUCGCGUAAAACUCGACCGAGUAUUACGCCGAUAAACGUGCUGGUUAAACCUGCGCCACGAUUUGCAAAUUUAUGAACUUUUCUACCUCGGUGAGCGGUAGAUAAUUGAUAUUACGAGAUACUCCAUUGAGCUUAGAAAUAUGGGAGAAUAAUUUUCAUAGAUUUCUCAUGCACUUGGCGAAGGAAAAGUAACAUUAUACUGUGCUUAGGAAGAGAGAGCUUUCUAGCAACUAAUUAUUGGAGAGUAACUUUCAUUGAUUCUUCGAGAGAUGAAAAGAAUAAUAAGAAAAAUGCGAGAAGAAACGGUGAAUAGAAGAAAGCGACAUUAAGAAGGAAUAAAUCUUUCGAAGGAUGAAUUUUCCUAGGAAAAUGUACUUAUUUUUAAUACAUAGCGCUGCUCAGAAGAUCAACUAGUACGUUCGCGAUAAGCAUAUGAAUAGGUACAAUGUCUUUAUUGAAAGGCCUGGAGAAUGGGUUGCUCGUAGCAUCUCCGUUUCAAUAAUUCACGACUAUACGAGCAAGGAAAGAUACGGCGAUGGAAAGGAUGUUGGUGGGUCCAAAUAUGGGAUACUGCAAUUACGCAGGACGCGAGUAUUAUUACGUUACAUAACCAAACGAGCAUAGGCACGUCACGAGGUUCUGACUUACGAUUUUCCAUGGAUAAAGACCAAGAGAGAGGCAGCAAAUUAACCACCCAUCGAACUUAACUUUCAGACGUAUCAUCAAUUUUUAUGAUACGACGCGCGUUACACAUUGCGCAAUGACGACGCCUCAGAAAUCAAUCAGCCUAAGAGACAUAAAGUUAUUCAAAGAUAACAGACAAUUAACUUGUCAAAAUAUCAAGUGAAUUUAUCUUGCAUCCUAAUAAAUCUUCCAAGACCUCA